Long non-coding RNA from Symphalangus syndactylus (siamang), 509 nucleotides. RefSeq lists it as uncharacterized. The record is from RefSeq and is a predicted model, not a curated record. NCBI's taxonomy places the organism in Eukaryota, Metazoa, Chordata, Mammalia, Primates, Hylobatidae.
GACCCGCUGUGUCCUCACUGGAAACCCUGGCUUCCCGCGAUUGCACUCGGAGGCCCACGUCAUUUACAGCAUUUCAAUCUCUGAUUCCCACUCCAGUCCUUCGAAAGUGUCGCCAGGGCAGACGACUUGAUGUUUUGUAUUUGGGCCUCCGGUGAAGAGCUGACUCCCCCCCACAACUGGAAACGCAUCGUCUGAAAGAUCCCCCUGAAAUUUCUUGAUGUUUAACUGUUAACAUUUUGUUGUUGUUGUCCACAGAAGGAUAACAACAUCCUUUCAAGAUCCUCCAAUAGCCUAAUGCCAAUCUCGUCUCUGCCUCAAAAGGAAAACACUAGAAAUGUUGGGAACUGCCGCCACUCUCUAUAUUUGCCUUUUCCUUUCUAGGAAUUGUAUAUAGAUUUUUAGCUUACUUUUGUUGUAUAUUGUUUUUACAUGGUUAUUCCAAUCACCUAAUAAACACUGAUCAAUAAGGAAUUUAAAUAAAAUCUUCACAAAAUUACAGCCAAAAAAAA